GCUACCUGAACUGGAGCAAGUUACUCAGCCUCUCUGUGCCUCAGCUUCCUCGUCAGCAAAAUGAGAGUAACAGUAUCUCUUCAGAGGAUGUUGUGAGAACUAAGCAAGCAGAUAAAUGUCAAGCACUUAGAACAGUGCUGGGGACACAGUACUCGCGAGGAAACCCCAAAAUGUCAAAAGGUCGCCGAGAAGAUAACGGGCCUCCUGAAAGCAUGACCAUGGACAAGGGCACCGAUGCACAGGCCGCACUUAGCAGCAGUUCCCAGUGUGGACUAAGCAAACUCCAUUAAUGCAAAUAGCAGACUGGAACUGGGGACAGGACUACACCAGCAAAACUCAGGACGUGGGGCCUGCGGACUAGAACUAGAGACAGGAUUUCAGUGAGGAACCGCGACACUGAACCAAGAGCUAAGGACUGGCACUCGGUUCGAGCCUCCAGUGAUGCUCGUCUGACGUCUUGGAAACCCAGUUAUAUCCCGAGUUUGAGGAAAAGUGUGGAGCUCAAAUGGAGAGGAACUCAUGGCCCUUGGAAACCGUAAGAAAGAGACUGAACUCAAAAGGAGGUUCUGACUUUCCGCAUCUGUUUUCAGGGAAGACCCCAAAGCACUGUCACUCAGAGCAGGAGAAGCCUGAUGCUAGAAAGUGGAGGGUACUUUUGAGAUGAGCCAAUCCCCAGCCCCAACUUUCCCACACCCCCUCGCUCAUAUCCACCCCCACUCCACGCCCUGGGGGCAUCACAGCCUGGAAGCAGGCAAAGACCACGUGGGCCAUGACUGCAAACGAGUUAGCAAAUAGAUCAAGGAAACUGCCUGGCAAAGCAUUUGGGAACACUGUCCUGAGUGCCAGCCAGGUUCCGGAAAGAGUUGAGCUAUCCGUUCUGGUCCCAUGACAGAUCUUUCUAGAAGGAAUGGUGUUAAAAUUCUACUUCAGGCUCCAAGAAAUUAGGGAUUUGCAUAAUGAAAACCCCAGGAAAUAGUAUGAAAUUAGUCCUGGCCACACACAGAAAUCACUGCAGCUGUGUGAGCCCGUGCCUCCAAUGACUCUUUUCUGCUAGGGAAGCACUGGGCGCCUCCCACUGUUGUAGAGUGUGCCCCACUGGGUUCUGGUCAGUUGUGUGUGUGUGUGUGUGUGUGUGUAUUUGCCCCUUCUGAAACAUGGAGAGAUGGUAGAAAAUUCAGUUAUCUUCAUCCCCACGAUGCAGCACUGCCACUGUCAGGAAGCAGAAUCUCAGUAAAUGGUUGUUGGAAGGCUGAAUGAGUGAAAGAACAAAUGAAUAUGGGUAGCUUUGUUCUCUCUGUCUCUCUCACACGCAAACA
Molecule: long non-coding RNA, 1316 nt
Organism: Suricata suricatta (meerkat)
Lineage: Eukaryota; Metazoa; Chordata; Mammalia; Carnivora; Herpestidae
Exons: 3
Source: RefSeq, a predicted model, not a curated record